Molecule: long non-coding RNA, 543 nt
Filed under: Homo sapiens (human)
Lineage: Eukaryota; Metazoa; Chordata; Mammalia; Primates; Hominidae
Description: non-protein coding lnc-CREBZF-4:1
Source: RNAcentral
CCAUGCUAAAGAGGCUGGUGAUUAUUGUGAAAGAGCCUAUGUCAAGACCUGCUUGCUCAUGGUCUUCACAGGGACAAACACAAGAGAACAACAUAGAUGACAUUGAAGUGAAAGGAAAGUAUAUGGGGUUGGCUAUAUGGGACACAGUUGGGCAGGAAGGUCAAGAUCACCUGAGGACUCUUUCCUACCCAGACACCAAUGUUAUAUUGAGGUGUUCCUUCAUCAAUAGCUUUGGAGUUUAGAAAACCUCCCAGGACAAAGAACCUUAGAGAGUAAGCGUUUCUGCCCCAAUGUGUACAGCAUUCUAGUUGGGAACAAGAUGCAUCUUCUGAAGGAUGGGCACAUAAGACAGGAUCUCACCAAGACGAAGCAAGAGUUGGUAAAACUUGAUGGGUGCCUAGAGAUAUAACAAUCCAGGUUGGCACUUUUGUGUGCCUGGAGGAUUCAGCAAAACUGAAAAUGGAGAGAAUUUUUUGAAAUGUCUGCAAGAGUGGCUUUGCAAGCCAGAUGUAAAAAGAAAAAUACAGGUAACUUGUUUUGUGA